Molecule: ribosomal RNA, 348 nt
Filed under: Listeria monocytogenes
Lineage: Bacteria; Bacillati; Bacillota; Bacilli; Caryophanales; Listeriaceae
Description: partial 23S ribosomal RNA
Rfam family: Bacterial large subunit ribosomal RNA
Source: RNAcentral
CUAUAACGGUCCUAAGGUAGCGAAAUUCCUUGUCGGGUAAGUUCCGACCCGCACGAAAGGCGCAACGAUCUGGGCACUGUCUCAACGAGAGACUCGGUGAAAUUAUAGUACCUGUGAAGAUGCAGGUUACCCGCGACAGGACGGAAAGACCCCGUGGAGCUUUACUGCAACCUGAUAUGGAAUGUUUGUACCGCUUGUACAGGAUAGGUAGGAGCCGAAGAGACGUGUGCGCUAGCAUACGAGGAGGCAAUGGUGGGAUACUACCCUGGCUGUAUGACCAUUCUAACCCGCCACGCUUAGCGCGUGGGGAGACAGUGUCAGGUGGGCAGUUUGACUGGGGCGGUCGCC